Molecule: long non-coding RNA, 1600 nt
Organism: Cylas formicarius (sweet potato weevil)
Lineage: Eukaryota; Metazoa; Arthropoda; Insecta; Coleoptera; Brentidae
Exons: 3
Source: RefSeq, a predicted model, not a curated record
GCCGUUGUUGACAUUUUUGGUGGUUAUGAUAGUCUCUGUACCUUUUUCGUGUUUUGUGUUGUGUUUGUGGUCAAAAAUGUAAGGAAAAGAAUGUGCCUAUAUACGGGACGUUCACUGACAAACGAAAUUACAAGUGCAGCAACUAUGAGGACCUAAUAGGAUCUUAGACAACCCCGAGUGAUUUAACAAACUACAGGGUUAAAUAGCUACACAGGAAAAUGUUUGGUUAAUAUGUUUUAGUGUACAAGAAUUACAGGAAAUAUAAGAAUACAAUUAAGCCGCAAGUUUUAUAAGAACUCCUGGAUAAUUACAAAUCCUUGUAAAACUCACUGUGGGAAAGUUUUCAUUUGUCAUCACGCGUAGUGAAAAUAAAAUUGCCUUUUGGUUGGUCAAAAAUUACAGAAAUUAUUACCUCAGAAAGUGGGGAAUUACCAGAAUCAGUUCAGUUGCAAUUGCAGCAGGAGGAAUUUAAAUGAUCAAUCUGCAUGAUAUUUUUGCAAAGUCUGAAGGGAUUACAGGAAAUUUUUGAGAAUUAACAGGAAUUCUGGGCAAUUAUUCAAAAUUAUGGGGUACUUUAUUUGUAGGGCACCUACCUCCUUAGGGAGGUAGGUGGAUCCUGCGGUACAUACACACAUAAUUUGACACUGAUUAAAUUGAAAUAGUUCUAUCAAUAAAUACUGAUUUUAUAAAUCUGCUUGUUGGAUUCGGGACAACUUGAGUUAUCAAAAUAUUAUAUGCACAACUUGGAAAGAAGAGAUAAUGUUUUUGGACAAGCUAUUAGAUUGAUCCAUGUUCUCUAUCCCAUUUUUUUUGUAGACUUACACAUAUGUCUGUUUCCUAGUUUUGAUUUUACCAAAACAUGAAAUUGUAAGGAAACAAUGGAUAACAUUCCUUGUCAAAAAUGGAGUUGCCAGGAAGGCUGAUAGCUUUAGAAGAGCAUCCAUAUCACUCGCUUUAAGUAAUAGGAGAGGUGGUAAACACUUGAUAAAGUAGGCAGUGCAGUGUCUUUUAAGUGGAUAUUGUGGUCAAUUGUAAAUCGGGUUACUUGUUUUCUGGUCAUUCUGUUUGGCGAUGGUACUUAACGGCCAGCCUAUACUUAUAGUGCCAAAUGGUCCCUUUUUUUUCUAACCCGACUGAUAAAAUUUAUUAGUAUGUUAGCAACUUUUUUUUCUAUCUAAAAUAUUUAUAUUUUUCCUGCAUAAUUUAUGACUGAAAAUUUUCCAUCUUGAACAUAUGAGAAAUUUUUGUUGAUAGGGGGAUGUUUUUCGGCUUUAUUUCCAACAAGUCAAAAUAAUUUCUUUCCUAGAGCAGACACCAGCAGAUCUUUAAUCUUCAGUGGUAGUGAAAACAACAUUACAAGUUAUAGAGAAGCCUGGAACAGAAUAACCAGCAGUCACCAGUUUUUAAAAAGAACUUAAGGCACACUAACAUAUUGUCAACAAGUAAAGUGAUUUAAAUUUUGUUUCGAAUUAUUAUAAAUGAACAUUUUUUUUAUUGCUUACAUCUUCUUUUUUGCAAUUUUUAAAUUGUGGUGAUCCUCUCAAAUCAAGUAAUGUAAAAAUUCCAUGAAAAGAGAAACACUGAAACAUGUUAUAUCGGA